RNAcentral lists this long non-coding RNA (796 nucleotides) under Populus tremula. Its description in RNAcentral is "long non-coding RNA (PTRE_LNC003199)". Lineage: Eukaryota; Viridiplantae; Streptophyta; Magnoliopsida; Malpighiales; Salicaceae. The record is from RNAcentral.
GGCAACCCCACCUCAGCUAUUCAAUCAAAGCACUGAAAUUGGAGCAAGAAGAUCCACCUUCUUCAACAGCAUUCCUGGUCGUUUCUUCUAGCUUCUUUGUUCUGCUCCUCAUUUCCUCUGCUUCUCUACAGCUUCACUUUUAACAUGAUCUCCAUGCACUGUAAGCCAUUCCUCAACUCCAACACCAACUCCAGUUUUUAAAACAUCGGUCACCAACUUUUCAUUAUGGAAUUGCUCAGCAAAACAUCAGGCACCAUCCUCAAUGAGUCACAAAUGCACCUAUUGCUUCAUGAUCAAGAAUCAAAACUUGGAGUGCUCAUCCUCUAAUAAUUAGGCCUUUGCCUUCCAUUCUUCCCUCAAAUCCUUCAGGUAAACAAUCCUUCAGAUAAAUUGAUGCCUGCUGCAAUCUCCUUAAGCUGAGAGGCAGUGAAGUUUGCCAUGCUUCCAAAGCAAAUAUAAACAACUGAAUUUGGUUUCUUUGAGUCGAGUCACUUCAACUGAAUUUGCCAUGUUGAGCAAUUGAGGCUUGUUUUCCUCUUCCUGCUUCAUCUUCAUUGUCUCUAUUGCAUAGCGAAACCAGGCCCACGUUAAUUCACACCCUCUUUAAUUGACCCAACAAGACAAUGUCCUAACCAUACAGGUUCCUCUUCUACAGAUUCAUGGAUCACUUUAUGCAAAGCAGAGGCAUGAUUUUCUGGAAAAAGAGUGUCUUGGGAACUUACAGUAGAUUUCGUUGGAACUCUUCUCUCAGGACGUAGCAUAGCUUCUUGAAUCUCUGUUUCUAAUCGGAACAGGG